Molecule: ribosomal RNA, 270 nt
Filed under: uncultured Staphylococcus sp.
Lineage: Bacteria; Bacillati; Bacillota; Bacilli; Caryophanales; Staphylococcaceae
Description: partial 16S ribosomal RNA
Rfam family: Bacterial small subunit ribosomal RNA
Source: RNAcentral
GUGCCAGCAGCCGCGGUAAUACGUAGGUGGCAAGCGUUAUCCGGAAUUAUUGGGCGUAAAGCGCGCGUAGGCGGUUUUUUAAGUCUGAUGUGAAGCCCACGGCUCAACCGUGGAGGGUCAUUGGAAACUGGAAAACUUGAGUGCAGAAGAGGAAAGUGGAAUUCCAUGUGUAGCGGUGAAUGCGCAGAGAUAUGGAGGAACACCAGUGGCGAAGGCGACUUUCUGGUCUGUAACUGACGCUGAUGUGCGGAAGCGUGGGGAUCAAACAGG